CAAUAGCGUAUAUUAAAGUUGUUGCAGUUAAAGACGCUCGUAGUCGUAGGUUCGGGGCGUCCGGACCGUCUCGCCGAGUGGUACGCACUGGUCGGCGCGUCCUUCCUUCCGGAGACCGUGCCUACUCUUAACUGAGCGGGGUCGGGAGACGGAUCGUUUACUUUGAAAAAAUCAGAGUGUUUCAAGCAGGCAGCUCGCUCUUGCAUGGAUUAGCAUGGGAUAAUGAAAUAGGACUUUGGUGCUAUUUUGUUGGUUUCGAACACCGAAGUAAUGAUUAACAGGGACAGUCAGGGGCACUCGUAUUCCGCCGAGAGAGGUGAAAUUCUCAGACCAGCGGAAGACGAACACUGCGAAAGCAUUUGCCAGGGAUGUUUUCACUGAUCAAGAACGAAAGUUAGGGGAUCGAAGAU
Molecule: ribosomal RNA, 410 nt
Filed under: uncultured eukaryote
Lineage: Eukaryota
Description: SSU rRNA
Rfam family: Eukaryotic small subunit ribosomal RNA
Source: RNAcentral